RNAcentral lists this long non-coding RNA (322 nucleotides) under Homo sapiens (human). Its description in RNAcentral is "non-protein coding lnc-TCTE3-2:3". Lineage: Eukaryota; Metazoa; Chordata; Mammalia; Primates; Hominidae. The record is from RNAcentral.
CAGGCGGCGGCGGGGCUGAGGCGGCCGCGGGGCUGAGGCGAGCGAGCGGCGGGGCUGAGGCGAGCGAGUGGCGGGGCUGAAGGGAGUCGCGGCGGCGCUGAGGCCAGCGGCGGAGCUGUGGGGGGCAACGGUGCUGAGGCGGUGGCCGCGGCCGGGCGGGUUGGGCUGACGUGAGAAGCGCCGCCGCCGCUGGGCCUCCUCCAUUCCGGCCCGCAGCCCCGCGCCCUCCCAGCCUUUGGCGCCCUCCCGCGCGGGCGGCGCGCUGGCGACGGCCAUGGCGGUGGCGGCGGCGCUGGCGGGCCGCGGGGCGCGCGGCGGCAGG